AACGAACGCUGGCGGCGUGCCUAAGACAUGCAAGUCGUACGGUAAGGCCCCUUCGGGGGUACACGAGUGGCGCACGGGUGAGUAACACGUGGGUAAUCUGCCUUUCGGUCGGGGACAACUCCGGGAAACUGGAGCUAAUACCGGAUGAGCCCACAGGGUCUUCGGAUCCAGCGGGAAAAGAUGGCCUCUGCUUGCAAGCUAUCGCCGAUUGAUGAGCCCGCGCCCCAUUAGCUAGUUGGUAGGGUAACGGCCUACCAAGGCUUCGAUGGGUAGCUGGUCUGAGAGGAUGAUCAGCCACACUGGAACUGAGAUACGGUCCAGACUCCUACGGGUGGCUG
Molecule: ribosomal RNA, 338 nt
Filed under: uncultured Pseudomonadota bacterium
Lineage: Bacteria; Pseudomonadati; Pseudomonadota
Description: bacterial SSU rRNA
Rfam family: Bacterial small subunit ribosomal RNA
Source: RNAcentral